AGAAAAGUAUUUAAAAAAAAAAAAUAAAACCUAAUUUGCAAUUAGAAAUUGAGAUUAUCCUUUUCUA
Molecule: transfer RNA, 67 nt
Filed under: Dermacentor sinicus
Lineage: Eukaryota; Metazoa; Arthropoda; Arachnida; Ixodida; Ixodidae
Description: tRNA-Ala
Source: RNAcentral